AAAUUUCUCAGUCUGUUCCGAUGAAGAAACAAACUCAUCUACAUCUCGGAUGACCCGAGGAUAUAGAAAGCACUGUACUUGGUGAUGGAGGAGGGGAAGAUGCAGACAGACAGCAGGCAAGAUGAGAAAUAGCAAGAUGACACAAGAAGAUGGAAAAGAAGCCUGACUGACAGAAACCUUCAAAGACGUACCUAUGCGAUCAAGGUGGAGGCCGUGUCCUGCCGCGAGCAAGUCAACAGAGACACAUUAACAUGCAUCGCGACCUCAACCAGAGGUGUCAUCGACCAGUGGAAGCCUACAUGUGGGUGAGAUCUAGCAAGGCCACCUCUAAACUCAAACCAGCCCCUCCCCUUUGCACCUUAGACAUCUGUGAUUGGUCUUCUUUUGCUUUUUUGCUGUCUUUCUUUCACCAUUUUUUUUCUAGAAAUCAAGUGCAUCUGUGCUGUUGACUUAUUUGUCUUUUGAAACCUUUCCUGAUAGAUGCAAAGAUAUAUGACCUGGUAAUGCUCAGAAAGUUGAUUAAUUAUGAGAUUUCCAAGAAAACUACUUUUGUUUUAAACAUUUUGAUAAGAGAAAUUGAAAAUGAAACACCUUGAAUAUAAUACGUUUUUCACAUUAGAAAUAGCACCUGAGAACAUGACAAAAAUUACAGUACAUGUUCACUUAUAAGUGAAACCGUGAUAAAACAGAAUAAAUAUGAUUUCAAUUAUCCUAAAUUGUGAGUUAAAUAUUUUAUCUGAUACAUUAAGACAUUUAUGAUGGGGACAUGAAGAUGUACUGCAACUAAUAUUCAACUACAAGUUGUAAAUAAAACAGGAUUUCUGAGUAUGUUUUACAAGAGAACAUGCUCAAUUUUCAAGCAAUGUCUAAAUGAAAAUUGUUGCAAAGUAAAUUUUAUUUAAAAUUUUUUUUUCAGUGUAAAAUUCGGUUGUCCAUCUUAUUCUUUAAAGUGGUAAAGAUAAAUAGAUUCGUCAUGUGAGUGAGGUAAGCAACCACUUAUACGUGUUGGUGUUAUUGAACAGGACAAGAUUAACAAGCUUCUUCGAAACUUAUCUAGAACAGAAUAGUGGAAACACUCUUUCCUCCAACUAUUUGCUAAUAGCCUACCUUUGCCUUAAAAGGCACAAAUGUUUUUUGUGCCAAUUUUUUAUGCAACUGCCCACACUUACAUAAAAAAAAAAAAAAAAAAAAAAAAAUCAUGUUAUGGAAAACAGCCAGUUUAACACAACGAAAACUGUCACUCUGGCCACAAAUGAAACUCUCUCUCUCUCUCUCUCUCUCUCUCUCUCUC
Cyprinus carpio (common carp) is the source of this 1291-nucleotide long non-coding RNA. RefSeq lists it as uncharacterized. NCBI's taxonomy places the organism in Eukaryota, Metazoa, Chordata, Actinopteri, Cypriniformes, Cyprinidae. The record is from RefSeq and is a predicted model, not a curated record.